Molecule: ribosomal RNA, 351 nt
Filed under: Bacilli bacterium oral taxon C43
Lineage: Bacteria; Bacillati; Bacillota; Bacilli
Description: bacterial SSU rRNA
Rfam family: Bacterial small subunit ribosomal RNA
Source: RNAcentral
CAAGUCGAGCGGAGUUUUUAAAUGCUUGCUUUUAAAAACUCAGCGGCGGACGGGUGAGUAACACGUGGGCAACCUGCCCUGUAGACUGGGAUAACUUCGGGAAACCGAAGCUAAUACCGGAUAAUCAUAGAAGUUGCAUAGCUUCUAUGUAAAAGUUGGGUUUACCUAACACUACAGGAUGGGCCCGCGUCGCAUCAGCUAGUGGUAAGGUAACGGCUUACCAAGGCGACGAUGCGUAGCCGACCUGAGAGGGUGAUCGGCCACCUGGGAGUGAGACACGGCCCAGACUCAUACGGGAGGCAGCAGUAGGGAAUCUUCCGCAAUGGACGAAAGUCUGACGGAGCAACGCCG